GCCUACUGAGCGAUAGCUCAGUAAAGCAUGAGAGUCUUAAUCUCAGGGUUGUGGGUUCGAGCCCCACGUUGGGCA
This is a non-coding RNA of Podarcis lilfordi (Lilford's wall lizard), 75 nucleotides long. The record is from the annotation of a GenBank genome assembly. Lineage: Eukaryota; Metazoa; Chordata; Lepidosauria; Squamata; Lacertidae.